Long non-coding RNA from Stomoxys calcitrans (stable fly), 513 nucleotides. RefSeq lists it as uncharacterized. The record is from RefSeq and is a predicted model, not a curated record. The transcript is spliced from 3 exons. NCBI's taxonomy places the organism in Eukaryota, Metazoa, Arthropoda, Insecta, Diptera, Muscidae.
UAACAGUAAGAAAUUUUGUGGUGUCAAAUAAAUAUCUUUUUUUUCUGUUGGAAAAAAUUUGUGAAAAUUAUAUUUGCAAUUUUGCUGUGACUAAGUUGUCUAACCGCGAAUUACAAGUUGGAAGUUAUUUUUGUCGAAGGAAUUGGGUUCGUAUGUCUCUCAUUCUUCCCAAUAAUUUUUUAUUUAAGGACUUACGCGAAAGAGCCAAGAAAUAGCAUCUCCAGAACAUGAAAUUAUGAAUUUUUGAAUAAUUUGGUGCACCAUGACGAAUGAUUGUAGCUGUAAAUUUUCCUGUUGACCAUAUCGUAUACGCCACCAAGGCACCAAAUGGAAUUCUUUGAUCGUUUCAAAUACCUAACCAUGCCAAUUCUCAUAAUAUGAGAAUUUUUGUUUUUUGAAAGUAAAACGUCAGAAGGACUUUAAGAUUAUCUGGACCCUCAAAUCAUUGACUAUGAAUACUUAUUUGGUUACACAUUUUGUUAAGCAUCCAGAAUCCAGCAAAGACAACAGGCC